AGAGAGAGAGAGAAUGAGUUGGGCCUUUUGACCCCAUUUUUGACCCGGUCCACCAUUUAGAAUCCUACUCCAACAAUAUAACACCUCCAAAAAUAAUACCUACUAAAACAAUUAACCUCUCUUUACCAAACAAAGUCUACUCUUUUUAUCUAAUAACUUUUUCAUGCCAACUCCGAUUUUAACGUUUAGCAUGUCUAUGAACUCGUAUUGUCCUCUACAACUUUAUGAAAAAAGUUUUCCCAAAUUCCAAACGAAAGAAAAAGUCAACUUUUAGAGUCUUAAAUAGUAAACGGUUACUUAAAACAGUAAAAGGUCAAAGUAACCCAAAAAUAAAUAACCGUAAAUUGACUUAAGAACUGAGAUGUGACACCUAUCCCAACUAUUUUGUCCCUGUUGACAAAGUCAUUUAGGCGAUCUUGCCAUUCUCUUAUUUUGUUUAUCACUAGGGGGCAAGAGAAACCACCGUGGUGUGUAAUGUGACCAACAAGUGAGGUCAUGUAUUCUGGGUUCCAUACGUAUAUUGGCGGGAGGUCUAUCCUCUAGAACAAAUUGAAUUGCUCUCCUACAACAUCCAAGUACAGCAGCUGUAGAAACAUGACGCCACCACUCACAAAACCUCCUUCAUCAUCUGUAUGUGACGUUGCUCCUUCCAACAAAAAAUUGACUGCAUACGACGCGCAUUUUUUGUUUUUGAUGUCAGGAGCGGACAGUACCGCUCCCACCAAGCCUAUGUUCACCAAGCCAUCUCUCCCAGGACACAGCAAUGUGGUAAGUGCGUAGAGAGAAAAUGCUGUUUUGAACAAGUUGUCAGCCCCCUCUCUGUAACAUACAAUUUCCACCAAUCGGGCUAUUUGAAUAUGUCGACCCCCUUCGUCAAAUAAAUAUCUCCUUACAUACGUCUCUUCCCAAUUAAAAAGGGACCGUCCCUCCUCAACCUCCUGCCAGCCGUCUGUGAUUCCCAUCACGCGAGUUAACUCACCAUUUGUCAAGCCAUAAUACAGACCACAAAUUUCAACUGUCCUGUUCUUAAUGUCAAUUGCUCUAAACAUUAAGUUCCAUAUUGGUCCAUACAGGAAAUUAAUCCGCAAGUCUAGCAAGUGACCCCAUCCAAUCUUGUUUACUGCGGCCACCUUAUCUGGUGGCAAAUCUUUAACCGUCUUGCAGAACUCGUACGGCCUGCUAUGACUAUAUAGAUAUCCAAGAUCCUGCAUGACCAACAGCCGUGUUAUCAAUAUAUUAGCCAGUGAAACAUUACAUUUUUGGUGUUACAACUUCAUGUACGAUAAAUAUUACAAAUAUUUAAGGAUCAACAUAUUUUCGAGUUACAUUACCAUAUCUAUCCCUACGCUUGGUUCUGACUCAGAUGGCCUGCACAAGCAUUCAGCUGUGUAUGAAACUAUACUGACAAUGUAAUCAAACUAAAAGCCUUUGUUUCCUUUUUCACAUUUUCGCCGGACCUCUCCGCAAAUGUUUUACUAACACAAUUUAAAUUAAUCUGCUUGUGCUUGGACUUACCUCUUGAAGAACACUUGUUGGUUACGAUCCACCCCGUAGUCGCCGGAUCCACUGCUGUGCUCCAUCUACAUAAAUAAAUAAUACUACGUGGUUAGACUUGUUUUGUAACCUACAACAACCCUUAUAAGCGUAUCACAUUGCCGCAAUUGUAACACCCAUUUAACCAUACAAUUGUUUGUUUGUUUCUUGAAUGAUAAUAGGUCUACAAUAUGUUCACUGCACAGAACGAAUCAAGCCUCAACUAAUCAAUCCACACACUAGUUCACCUAUCAUGCCAUAUUAUGACCUAUGUACCCUACUUUGAUUAAUAGGUGAUAGUUCAACUAUAUGUCAUGAUCUAGUGUUUUACUACAUGAAGACCAUAUGAAUGUAUACAGUAAGUUGUAGCAUUUUUCCUCCUCAUCCAUCUUUCCUGUUGAUAGAUCUUGAUAUGUAAAUUUUUAGUGCAUUACAACUCCAGCAUUCGAAUCUGAUGACAUGAACUUGUUAACUAACUCCACAAUAUUAUUCAAUACCUUCAUUGAAACUGAAUUCUACUUGCACAUAUGUUAUCAUUUUCAAAUCAUAUAACUCCCUACCCGUUAGCCGCAAUUGUACCCACCCAAACCCAUCAUGCAGGAUACCAUCCCCAAUAGAUCUGUAGUUUAGCCAGUUCUAGCCAGUUCAACACAUAACUCAUGCAGAACCACAACAUACAUAUGGUUUUACAGUCACACAAAAGGACUAAUAUGCAGAUAGGGACGUCUCAGUACAGAAGAAGCAGAGCAGGGGAAUAUAUUCGAUGUUGAACUGUAAAGGAGGUUUUACCUUUUAAACUUUACCUUCAGGCCUGCGACAGCGAAUAUCUCUCCCUCCUGACUUGUUGCAGCUUGUUGAAGAAAUCCAAUAACGUAAUCGUCGACCUUUCUCUCACCGGGAUCCGCUGCAGCCCGUCCUCAUCUCAUUAUGCGUCUGCAUUUGAUCUACUCUUUCAUAUAUAGGGUUCUUUACACGGAGCUCCUCUUUAGACAUACCUCUUAACCUAAUAGGUAUUAUCUCUUGGUUUAACCUAACAACACGUUCCCCAACGGCAUAUUUUAAUACAAUAACUAGAAGAAUUGGUGCGGUUUUGUGUUUUCGAUGUGCUAGGUCAAGUAAGAUGGAGGGAGGGAGGGAGUUCACAAUUCCCCCCCCCCCCCAACAAGACAUGAAUCUGUAAACCAGAUUUUCUGGAUUGCACCCUCCUUGCACCGUCACAUCAUCCAAUUAUUCGAAAAGUAAUGAUACUAAGGCAAUAUCGUAAGUUAUGAACCGAAUCAGUUAUGGUAUUUGGUUAGAGAACUUGCUACCAAUCCCCUCACUUUUCAACUGAACCCACUCCACUCCCCUUAGGAACCAGUUUUGCCAACCAGGAAAAGUUGGUGGUCUCCAUGACCAUCCAAUCAACUAACUCUCUCUCUCUCNNNNNNNNNNNNNNNNNNNNUACUACACUAACUACUCUCUCUCUCUCUCUCUCUCUCUCUCUCUCUCUCUCUCUAUUGGAUGGUCAUAAGACCACCAACCUUUCCUGGUUGGCAAAACUAGUUCCUUCCCCUUACUAUCUCCGACCGAUAUAUAUCCACAUCACCUCCCCUUGCCAUCUAUAUAACACCUCCCUUUUACUCCCAAUUAUCUGAACCACGCUAUCCCUCUACCUGCCUGUUAAUAUCCCUCCUUCCCUUGUUGCAUUGGAAUAUUUUGGCUGUCAUGUCAACAAACACUUCCAACCAUCCCUCCGACGACAACGUAUCCAGACCCCCCACUAUCGGUGGCUCUAGUGGUGCUUCUGGCUCUUCGUCCACGACCCCCGGUGGAAUGUCCUCCAAUCCCACCCUAGAAAAUCCUACCACCUUACCCCAUGUUCAGUUUAAUCUCGUUCCUCCCGACUGCACUCCUUUAAGAGACACAAACGGCAGAGAGUAUGACGAAUGGGUCUUCGACAUUGAUCCAGCAAUAGGUCAUGACCGUUGGACAGGACAGUUUCUCCGUGCUCCGGUUGAGACUCCACAUGAGACCCGCACCAUCAUCUGUUCAGCUCACGGUGAAUUUUACUGCCUAACGUGCUCCCGUUCUGAUGCCGCGUAUUUCCUCCGUUGCGUAACCAUUGCCGGCAAGUACCACGAUCCCACUAUGUGUUUUUGUUGUCGUGAUCAGUGACGUGUUUCGUUUGUUCGGAGUUUGAAUCGGAAUAAAACAGUCAUUGUCGCAGUGUUUGUUGUUUAAUUUAGCUUGGUUUGCAGUGUAAUUUAUGAUGUUCAGUAACUAUAGUUUGUAAAAACUUGUAAUUUACGAUGUUCAAUAACUAUGCUAGGCAAUGUAAUGUCUGAUGUUGGUAAUCUUAAUGUUUGUUGUUAGUGGGUAUUUAAUCUGUAUUCAUGUUAAUCAAUCACAUUAUCAACCCAAAACCCUAACCGUAAUUCAAUAUGAACAUAAUGACAUCCACUUUACAUAUUUUAAGACAGAGACUAAGAUAUAUGGUGACAUGAGAAAAAUGAAAAUUUAGCCGAAAUAUCUUCAAAAAUCAAAAUACGUGAUUUUUCCUUCCUUGUCUUAAUAAGGUGUCCAUCAUGCAAACCAUACAGGAUAAGUUAGACAUAACACCAUAGGACUCCAACACCAUAUCUUGAACAAUUUGUUGUUCUUCCCUCCUCGAUUACGAGUCAUAUUAUUUCGAUUAUGAGUUGAAUUAUUUUUAAUCCUGGUAGUUUUAUGAGUCAUUUUAAAUGAAUUUGGUGACGCCACGCUUAUAUUCUAUUGACAUGUGUAAACUUACUGUUUGGUAUACAAUAUAUAAUAUAAGUUAUUAUAUUUGGUGGACAGUAUAUAACUUAUAAUAUUAUAUGAAUCUCACUUUAUAUUUGGUAGGCGAUAUAUAACAUAAGUAAUUUUUUUUAUAUAUAUGUAAUUCUACUAUGAAUCCAUACGAUAGACAUUUUAAAAUAAAAUUCAUUUUAUUAUGAAUCGCACCUUAUAUAAGACAUUAUAUAAGUCAUUUUAUUACUAAAAUAUGUAAAUUACAAUAUUUCACCGUCUGACAUGAUUAUUACAAUAAAACAUGGCUAUAGUAUCAAAUUCAUCUGGAUUCGCUGCCUUUUCGGAGCUCAAUCGAUACUGGAGAACCUUAAUCCAUCGUCAUUUAUCACACAUAAACGCUUUUACCUACCUGUCCGUGACCUAGUUCGGACAAUUCUUGCACCCAUUCAAGUCUGACAUAGAUGAGACGUAACCACACAUGAGAAAAAAAUGUUGUAAUUUACAUCCCGCAGAUAAAGUUAUAUUAAGCCUACAAAGGGUUGAUGCCUUUAUCGGGACCCAUACGUCACUUGAAAUAUGUGAUUUUUCAAUUAUAACAUUAUUUCACUAUUCUGAUGACAUCUUAUUUCACGAUACGUUUGAAAAUUUUGCUUCCUCUGUAUAGUUGGUUCACAAAGUUGUACAGUUGCAUAUAACCUACUAAAUAAGUUAUGACACAUUAUUAGGCACGUUGUGAUUUCGAUUACUAUAAUUCAUAAAAUGAAAAUUUGACCAUAUGAUAUGAUCGUUAUAGUGAAACAUGGCUAUGAACCAAAAUUCAAUUAGAUUCGGCAACGUUCGGGACUCGAUCAAAGCAAUCAACUUGAAACUAUCAUCACUUAUCACACGGAAACUCUUACACCCACCUCUCCGUGACCUAGUUGGUCGACUCUUUCUGCACAUGAAACUCUCACAUAGAUGAGAAGCAACCGCCCAUGUAAAAACUUGUAGACGUUUACCUCCCGACGAUAUGGCUUUCAUGUAUAAACAUAAGUGUAAAAAGGGUUGACCACUUAAUUCGGGACCCAGAUGUUACCCGAAAUACGUGAUUUUUCAACCAUAGUCAUAUUUCACCAUUCCGAUCACAUCCUAUUUCACAUAAUUUCCGAAAAUUAGAUACCCACUUUACAGUUGGUUAACAAAGUGGUAGAGUUGCAUAUAACGUAAAAAUGAAGUUAUGCCACAUUAGUAGGCACGUUGUGAUUGCGAUGACUAUAAUUCAUAAAAGAAAAAUUUGACCUUAUGAUAUGAUCGAUAUAGUGAAACAUGACUAUGGACCAAAAUUCAACUAGAUUCGGCAACGUUUGGGACUCGAUACAAGCGGUCGACUUGAAACUAUCAUCACUUAUCACACGAAAACACGGCUAUUUCGAAUUGAUUUUACUCGAUAUCCAAGUGCAUGUAUAGUAUAUAUCAAGCAGUGAACCGUCCAAUCGUCAAGCAUUUUAACUUACUCGGUUUGAUGUAUAUUAUUCAUGUAUUACAGUAUAACAACCAAACCCAUUCUGAAUAACUUUAAUAGUUGUGUACCUUAAUGAACAACUCUAGCUGGAUGUUGUAUAGAUGCGUGUAAGUUGUAACCCUCUUGUAAUUGCUCACUUGUGUUUUACUAUCGCGUGUUCUAACUGUGGCAUUAAUGAAUUACAGUGUUUAACGCCUCUUUAUGAUACAACCUACACUGGAUAUGCCUAUAAAAGGAAAUGACAUAUCAUAUAUAUUACGUGCAAAUCUGGUGAUGGCAUAGAUUCCCCCCACGUGCAUCCCCCCUCCUAGAUUCGCCCACUGUUUGGUAGUCAAAAAGGCCACUGCUGAAACAAUGAUCAUGUACAAAGCUACCUUAUGAACAAGCACGUGCAUGACAUUCCAUCAAUAUAGAAAGAGACACUCCAUCCUUUUGUCGCCGACCUAAUAUGUAGGUCAAGAAUAUAUGUACGGUUAAGCACGUGCCCACGUCGGUGCAUGGUGUGUCUCUGUGCUCCUACUAUAUAUUGGGGGGACGCCAUUUCUACGAGUAGCCUUAUGCUUGUUCACCUCCCACCUCAAAUGCAACAAACCUCACACUUCUUUCAGGAGCAUCCAAUUCUCAUUUGCUCCUCUCAUUUGCCUGGUAUUUCGUUAUUGUUAUUUAGACAUGAACCCAGAUCCAACUAUAGACAUUCCCAUAAACAAUCAAUCCACACAUGUUCAGUGUUUUUCUCCUAUUUACGCGAUAUCAUACACAAAACCGGCUUAUUCAGAGAUAGGUGUUGGAAAAUGGUUUCAUCGACAUGAAAUUGUCAAGACAGUGAAUGCAACGAUACAAACUAACUAUCGCAUCCCUCCAGAUUGGUUUCCAGAUAAAAAUAGUCAAGGUUAUCCAUACAAUUGUUUUAGUUAUAUUGUGGAAGAUGAUAUCGGAUUUGCUGAGUGGGUGGGUGAGAUAGUGGAUAGACCGUUCGUGUCAUUCGAUUGGAAGCCGUUUGUUACCCAUGUACCGACUACAUAUUCGAACGGUGCCCAACCAAUCAACUCUAUUGUCACAGGCAACGUACAACGUACCGGUUUACCUCGUUAUGCAUAUCCGUGUAUUAUACACGGAAUGACAAUGUGUCAUGAGUGCAUGACAGUAGAAAUCUACAAGGAAAUUAGAAGACGGUUAGGUAAAUUCUACCAACGCUAUUAUUCAUAUUAAAGGUGUACUUUCAUGUUCAUAUUAUUAAUUACUUUCAUGUUCACGCAAUGUCAAUUACCUUAUCUAUAUGUACAAAUCAUGUGGAGUUAAAAUUAACAGUAUGCUAAUAUGUCAACAUUUGUAAAAACACCCAUGCUAUUUAUACAUCAGCUGUGAAAACGUAUUUACAUGGCUAGGCUUAAUAUUAUUUUAGUACGUCGAGAAUCGAGAGGGCAUUUUAGUGGGAAUUUUGUAGAUUAUUCCACUGAAAGAGUCAUCCACUGAAAUUGAUACACAAGUUGAGCAACCGAUUACAGUUUUGUCGAGAAAUUUAAGCAACAUGUGCAGGUAGUUAAUAUAUCUGAUAUCAUAGGAAAAACACCGCAAGGUUACACAACGUUCACAUAUCAACACUGUCAACAAACUAACAAAACUAGACAUGGAACACGAUAGGAACCGUCAAUGGAGAACUGAGCAAGUUACCAUCUUCAAAAUGAUAUGUUUGCUCUAACAUAACCGCAAAAUACACAAUCAGGCCAAUACUGCAUCAAACCUUCUUCAACCUGAACACCAAAUGCUGCAUAACCUCCAUCUUUAGACGGUUCCCUCGCUUGAUGUUGUUGGCAGUCAUAAAGGCACGCCAUCCAUCGCCAAAUCUGACGCUUUGGUUGUUCUUGAAUGUGCCAAUAGUUCGGGCUUCAUUAUCGUCCCCCCACAGGGUAAGGUGCACACCAGAGAAAUCGUUAAUGUGUUUCUGGAAGAAAUCUUUAGGGACAGUCUGCAAAAUUAAAUGUAAAAAAAUUCUUACAUGUAUGACCAAACAUUUAACAACUCAAGGUAGACAUGGAACCGGGAUUGUGUAAUAACAUAUGAUAUAAACAUGACAUACCGGGAUGCUGUUAAAGAUUUUAAAUGUACAUCAAUCUCCUUCUCCCGCAGCUUCUAGUCCAUCUGAGGAGUCAUCAGAAACGGCAUCCAAGGAGUGAUGGGAAAAAUCAUCCGAGGAGUCAUCAGAAAUGACAAUGGGUUAAACUUCAGACCCUCUACGGCUACCCCCAACUGCAACUGCAGGUCGAUUCGAACAACUGUUUGGUCUAUGCAGGGUAACAUAGAAGUUCAACCUCCCUAAAUAGUAGAAAACGACAGUAUAACGUGGACCAAGGUUGUGGUGCUUCAUGAAUUCUCUCCACCCUUGUCUGAAAAACAGUUCACCUUGAUCCUUAACACAGGCUAUCUUCCACCCCUGAUUUGGAUUACGAUCAUAUUGAACAUGCAGAUACACAAACUGAGACCGCCUUAGGUCAGCGGCAAACUGUUCCCAAAAAUAUUUAGGUAGAUGCUACAUACAAUUCAUAUAUGACAUAGUUAGUACCAACAAUAUAAUAGCAACAUGUAAGACCAACAUGGAAAAUAUGACCUGCGUAUACAUAGAAAAAAGAAGAUUGUAGUAUGCAGUUGAGUUAACGAGUUCAAAUUAUGCAUUACCAAAUCAUCGGUCUUCGCUAUUGGUGAUAAGACAGCACCGUAGGUUGGAUAGAACUCGUCCUCGUCAGUAUUUCUCAGCAAAGGGUGGCUGGACCUGAACUGAAAUCAAACAUGCUACGUUAGCAAUGGCAGGGGAUAUUACUCUUACACAACCAAUAUGAUUGUGUAUGAUAUGGUAUUACUAAAUCAGUCAAUAUUAACCACAGGAAAACAGUCAAUGAUGUAACAAACAAGAUUAGUUAUCAUUAGUGGCCGAUAUUAGUUUAUACAAAUUUGCUGAAUUCCCACAUCAUGUUCUGCAAUUUUACAACUAUUGCACACAGCAUAGGAGCAGCAUAUUUGAAAAUAAAAAACCAGCAACAAUAAAGGGGAACAGAGAUACAGAACAGGUCACCGAUUAGAUGCAUCAUUUGGUUAUGUAAUAGUUCCUUCAUAGAAAUCUAAAAACAAGAUCGAUGACCGUAUGGGUAACCAACCGGUUUGUUGGCCAUGCUUGAGAGGAGAGUGGAGGGAACAGCGAUUCGAUGGAGGAAUCUAAUAGAAAUAGCCAACUGCACCCAAAACCAUUCACCCUGGAUCUGAAAAUUGAAGCAAUUUAGGUUCAGUAGAUAUGAACAUGGUGAUUGCAUACGUAUUAUAGUAAACAGGGCGGAUUCCUCCUUCUGGUCACCGGAGAUGAAGGUUGGGUUGAAACCUGUGUUCACCUCUGCAUGAACUUCACUGCAAUCCAUUUCCUUCAGUGUCCUCGACGUUCAAAUGCACUGCAAAAUACUGAACUGCAGUUUUGACUACACCUUUGCACUCCCACCGUUGCACUCCCUUAGAUUGGUGGAUCUAUUCCACACGCUUUCAACUGACCGCAUUAACUGCGACCUGUCCUUUCAAUUGCCUAAAAUAAUGUAAUGUGAUCAUCGAGACCAACCCCGAGAUUCAAUAGAAGCGAAAUGGCGUCGAAGCAUAACCUAAAACAUAAUGGAACCAAGGUUCGAGACUGCCACCACCAAAACUGGGUUAUUUAUUUUGAUGGAAUUUACAUCCAUUUACAUUUACGGGUUUGUUAUUCGUUAAUGCCCGUCGAUGUGUUGUUAAAUAUUGUAUCAUUUUUAGGGGUGGAUUUUAGGCACCGAAAAUAUCAAAAUCGGUCAAAACCGUAUUGAACGAAGACCGAAAAACCAAAACCGAUGAAAACGAGCCUAUCGGGUAAGUUAAGCGGCAAAGAACCGAGUAUUGCGGUGUCUGUUUACGGUUAUGUGGAUCUUGAAAACCUAUUAAACUGAACCAAACCGACAUAUAUAUAUUUAAUUAUUAAUAUGUAAUUGUACAUUAGAUAUCAUGUUUUUAUUGGUUAAAGGUUACAUAUUAUAAGCUUCGACACACAAUAUUAAGAUUUAUAAGUGUAUUAGUAUAACCCAACCAAUUUUAGGUUAUCCGACCAGUGCAGUUUAGUAUAUCAUUUUAUCAGUUUCCGUUUUACAAAAUAGAAAACCGAAACCUCAGUUUUCUAUGUUCUCGUUUAGUGAAUUAAAACCAAACAGUUAGGAGCGAGUCCACCCAUAAUCAUAUGGACUAUGAAAUACAAAAUUUCGCCCGUAAUAAGUUAAAUUGUACAUGUCAGUGAGCCGUGGCUUGGUUGGUUAAGGUGUUUAACUAACAAUUUUGAGGUCACGGGUUCAAACUUCACAGACAUACGUAGGGUGUGUGAGUUAUUAAUAAAACAUUUUUUUUUUUUUAAAAAGUUCAAUUGUACAUAAGUCGUUGUUAUGUAAUGCUUACAUUAAACGAUUGAUCUUAUACUUUAUACUAACUUAAUGACCAAUAUUGAUAUGGUAAGGUCAUUAUGUUAGUUUAUAAACGAAUUUGGAUUCUCUAUUUCGAUUUAUGUUGUUUGGAUUCCGUUGGAUCGAGUAAAAUCUAAGAAGGUCAUGUCAUCCUUAUUCCAUCUAAUUGUUAUAAGACAUCUAAGUAAGUAAAUCAAAUAAAUAACAAUAAAUUUAUAGUCAAGAAUCCGGAUCUUUCUAAUACACAUGACUACGCGUCGAACACUUAAUCAUUUAAUUGUGUGUGACGAAGUAUAAACGAAAUCAAGCACCUGAUAGGGAUGGACAUGUAUGUUUCUUACUAUAAUACAGAUGAAGAAUAAGUGCUCGAUGAAGCAGACAUGUGGGUUACAUAAGACAUUAAAAAUAUCAACUAGAAGGAUAUUUAAGGUUAAUAAGAUAAUUAUAUAGUAUAAAUUCGUUUUUGUUAACUAUAGUAAUUGGAAUAACAACGUGCAUUGAAUCUGGCAUAUCGUAAUUGAGGUUGGAUUUUAAUAAAGUAUAAAACUUUGUCAAAGAAAAAUACGGUCACAUAAGAUAUGUUCUUUGUAGUGAAAUACAAAUAAUGUAUAGAAAUCAUAUAAAAUUGACAAUUUCGUAUCAGCUACAUAUGUGUAAUUUUGAAUACUAAAUUUAAAUAUUAGUAAUAUGAAAUAGUAAUGUUGUUAGAGACCGCUCCAUCGUACGAUUUAUAUUAAAUGAUUGCUAUAUAUUUAUACUGUUUAUACGCAUUAUACAUAAAAACCGUAACUAUUAUACAUUUAUUAAUCACGAAAAUUUGUACACAACUAAAAGUUAACAUUCUUAUUUUAAAUUCAUUUAAAUUCAAAAAUAAAGUCACAUGGAACGAGUAACCUACUCUUAACGGUGAAAGAGAACCCUUUCAUUCCGAAUUCUUAAAUUCGGAAUUAAUCAAAUCUCCUCAAGCAAGAUCGAAAAUUGCGUUUAUGUAAUGUUAAAAGAAAAUAAAAAUUGAUACAAUCAGUUAUUGAAAAAUAAAAUUCCUCGUAAUGUCCUCAUAAACUUUUAAAUGGACGGAUGAGAAUUUACAAGGCCCCCUCCCAAGUUGCAACUUGCAAGUUACAUCAUAGGGAGUAUAUUGUUCACUCACGAUUUUGGUCAGGGUCAGAUUUUCUCCUAGAUUUCCUCAGAUUUUACCAGCGAAGGUGUAGUCAAAACAGCAGUUGAGUAUUUUGGAGUGCCUUUGAACGUCGAGGACACUGAAGGAAGUGGAUUGCAGUGAAGUUCGUCCAGAGGUGAGCACAUGUUUCAACCCAACCUUCAUCUCCGGUGACCGGAAGGAGGAAUCCGCCCGGUUUACUGUAAUACGUAAGCAAUCACCAUGUUCAUAUCUACUGAACCUAAAUUGCUUCAAUUUUCAGAUCCAGGGUUUAUGGUUUUGGGUGUAGUUGGCUAUUUCUAUUAGAUUCCUCCAUCAAAUCGCUGUUCUCUCCACUCUCCUCACAUGCAUCUACGACGAACAGGUUAGUUACACAUACGCUCAUGGAUCUAGUUUGUUUAGUUAUAUGAAGCAACAACAAAAUCAUAAUCAAUUGAUGCAUGUGAUACUGGUUAGUUACCCCUAAUUUCUGAUUGUACAGGUCUUGGGUGGCUACUAUGUCGUAUGGGUUGGGAGGAAACCAGGGGUGUACAAGACCUGGAACGAAUGCAUAGCACAGACAAAAGGAUUAUCCGGGUGUCAAUUCAAGGGAAAUUAUUUUCUAAAUAAAGCCAUCGACGCAAUUAUGAGUCCACCUCUGAACGCUAAACAUCUGAAACCACCUAGCUGGCCCAUACAAAUUCCAGAUGAGGCAGUGCCUUACUACAAUAUGAGAAGGGGGACAAUGAAUGACACUGAACGUGCAUCAAGAGCGUCGUCAUCCAUUGUAAAAGCCGGAGCCGUAAAAGCCACCAUUGAAGGUAAUGGUAAGAGAAUGGUACUGGAGGGAAGUGCCGAAGAUGUUUCAUAUCUUCUAAGAGGUAUGAAAUUGUGAUAUGUAUGAAGCUGCUGGGUGGAUGGUUUUACUGGGGUUGCGUACGUGAGCUUUAUAAACAACAUCCGAGACUGUAACUGAACUGUUGUCAUUGUAAUUGAAGUGAAGGUUUUUGUUUCAAGGACUCCAACACCCUCCUUGUUUCAGUUUAAUUGUUCUUUGGACAUCGUCAGCCACUGUAACAACUGUUGUCAUUGUAAUUGAAGUGAACGUUUUUGUUUCAGGGACUCCUUGUUUCAAUUUAAUUGUUUUUUCGCUCUUCAGUGUGCCAUUAUGUAAUACGAUAUAUGAAAUACGAUGAACUGUGACAACAGUCACAACACAACAAAGAUGUCCACACUAACGUCGAAGCACCUUGUAAUUUGUUAUUUGGAAUUCCAUUCGGAUUUACUGUCCAUAACAUUUCUUCUAAUAUAUCCCCGGAUUUUACAACCAAGAAGAUGAAAUACAGUAUUCGGAAACAAGACUGCAUAUGGAAUAACGAAAUUACAACAAAUGAGGGGCUCACGUUACCUAAUACGCAUGAAAUUACAACCAUAGCCGUAUUCCACCGUGAAAAUCACAUCUUAUUUCACAACAUAUUUUAAAAUAUCCGACUUGUCGUAAUCAAAUCCUAAUGUGCCUGCUAUUGUGGUAAAAUUUGUUUAGUAGGUUACUAGCAAAUGUACAUCAUUGUGAAACAACAUCAAAGAGGAAGCAAAAUUUGCAAAAGAACAAUGAAAUAGGUCAUCACCUGAAUAGUUAAGUAACACUAAGGUGGAAAUAUCACCUCUAUCAAUAUAACAUGAGGCCCCGGCAAGACAAGUAAACCAUAUUUACAUCACUAAAACCCCUAACGGCAGCCCAAGCAUCGAGAGGGUCCGGGACCCGGAUAUGUGCUUUGGUGGUUAGAUAUCGCUAAUCUCAAGAUUUCACGUCUUUAAGGAUCGGCCAAACUAGGUUUCAUAGGAGGCGAUCAAAUCAAAAUUAUGCUAAACAACACUCAAUUACACUUAACUAACUUUAUACUUUUCAACCGUAGAGGGAUGACACCGUUAUGGACACAACAUAUAUAACGACAUUGUACAAUUAUCUCGACUUAUCGAAACAAAUUCUUAUGGGUACAACCAGUGUCGUUCGAAAGCGGCAAAAUAUAUUACUUCCGACAAAACAGGACGACGAAAUAUUUACAUUGUAGAUUGGGGCUCAGGACGGGCGAUCACAGCAAAACAUGUGGAAUGUGGCCUAAUAAUACAACGUCAUUAUCACGCUUCCCGGUUCUCCGAUUUCAAUUUAUAGGAGACAUGACUUAUUUACACAAUAUAUGGCCCAUGUGUUAGGCCCAACUCUGCAGGACAGUAGUGAUCCAAUAGUACAAAUUGGAGUGAUAUUGCUAUAUGCCCUCACCGUUUGGUAUGACAAAGCGGGUCACACCGUCAAAUUACACAACCCCUUAUCCUUUCCUUCAUCCCUAGUACAACCAAACACUGAUUGCGGCUUCUGAAACCCGCCACAAUGUAAAACAACAAACGACAGGAAUAACCAGCCACAAUGUAAAACACAAAUCUGAACAACAACCAUAAUUAAGUGGGAAUGACAUUAAGUUAUAAUUCCUUCUUUACUCAGUUUAACAUCACAGUCAAGUCAUGGCCCAAGUGAACCAUGGAAAAAAAACAUGCCAAAUAAUGUACUAGUCAUCCGGUUCUUAUAACAAUACAAAUAACAUAACCAAUUUUAAAGUACGGCUGAUAAGGUCUGAGAUUAAAAAUACGGUAAUGAGAGAUUAUAGUAUGAUGCUAAGACAAACAAGUUGGGGUCGGUCCUUACUGACAACUUGUGGCAAAUAGGGAUUUUCUCUUUACGAACGGCGUGGAACACGAGGCUUGAACUUCAUAGCCACAGUGGUCCUGAACGACUCGUGGUCACCACCACCUACACCCUCGGUUGCAGGGGAUUCCUCAAAUGUACGCCCUUCAUCCUCUUCACGGUACACGCAAUCACAAACUAUUUUAUAGCACUCAUUUAUCGGGUUGUUCACAAUUUCAAGUGCAAUCCUAACCCUCUUAUCACCGGAGUUGAACUACGUACACAAAAAUCACCAUCACACGAGUACACAUAACUAACAGAGAUAAACAACAUUCAACUUUCAUUAUAUACAGAAACUAAUAAACUCACAUUAGAGAACCACCGCUCUCGGUAGUACUGCAUAUGCCUGAUGGUGAAUAUACCAGAGUCGCACUUGUUAGGAACAGCACGGGUGGUAUCGGGAUAUGUGAAACUGUAAGUGGAAAAGGCCGAUGGAGGGAGAUCCGACUCUCUCAGGUGUGAGGAAAAAAUUUCUCCCAGGAGACUCAUCUGCACAAAACAAGGACAACCAAAAACGUACAAUAUCAAAUCAGUAUUGAAGAUCUUUAACAAAAUCAACUCAAAUAAUGCAAAAACUCACUACGCCGUUAACAAGGUUCUUGCGGUGUUGCUGUGCUGGGAGAUCGGGGAUGCUGUCCCAUAUCUCACAUUCAUCUUCGGUGAUGUUGACAACAACAAGAAACCAAUAAUCCAAAACAUCAUCAUUCAUGGGGAUGAAUAUUUGUGUUCAGUAAAUGUAAGGUUUUGGGUGCCAUGUGAUGACGAAUCAAAUAGCAAUAUUAAGAAUCUGACUAACCUUUUGACAUGAUUGUAGCCGCCCGUAAUAUUUCUGCAGCUUACACAUGGUAAUGGUGGCUGAUACAUGUGAUUUCAUACCCGCAUAACAUUCAGAAUAGUCCUUUGCGCGGUCCUGUAAACAAAGACAACCAGCCGAUCACAACUCUCGUUACAAAUACUUUCCAAUUAUUUAAGGAAACUAGGACAAUAUACAACGUACCGAAAGUAACGUUGAGAUUAACCAGCAAUCAUCCUUGUUCGCAAAACAGUACUCCCCCAUGAUGUUGAUCACCUCAGUAUAGUAUAAUUCUUUCAUUUUAGAAUCACUCAAUGGAAAUUGAAGGGAAUAAUAAGGCAUAAGCCUGAAAAUAUUUUUCUAAAUAAUAAAAUAACCUCGCCGCUUAUACAACGUGAGGGGGCGAGGCACAAAAGGUCCCAACGAGACACACUAAAUUUCCUGAAUCUCUCUACUUCGCCACUGUUUCACAGAUGUGAAAAACAUGGUCAACUCCAUAUUUUACGGGGACAAUGUUUCAACACCAAACAAAACAACAUAAACACUUUUGCAGAUAGUUCUUAUUCAGUAGUUAGCGUUACCUUCCUAGGUUGUCCUCAGCAGGGGCCUUCUUGCUAAAUAAGUAAUUCAACAUAUCCAUGUCUACAGGAGAUCGGUUAGCUACACCCCCAAACCUACGCUGCCCUUGUUUCUUCACCUCCAGACUACGAUUCAAGGACUUCUGAGACCCUUUAGCAUUGCUGGUUGUGUUUGCUGGUUGUGUUUGCGCAAACCGGUUUCAACAUAUGGGUAUUCACAUCCUCCUACAAUACAAACACGGGUUACAAAAUAAAAUAUAACCAGUGUGAAAGAACAAUAUAUGUAAUAUUUUGCACAACAUAUUAAUAACCGAUAACCGAGUAAAAGUCAAAAUAAACACACCCCCGUUGGUCCACUAUGACCACAUUCAAUUGACUCGACUGCUCUCAAAACAUCAUCCACUAUGCAGGUCACAUCUCUCGCCUUUAGCUUAACCACUGAAUCGUAUAAUGCUAUCAUUGCAUCCCGCAGGUUCGAUAUAUCCGGACCCAUCCGAUGCACAGUUGUCUCCAGGACUCCUACUUUUUCUUCUGCAACAGAAAUGUGAGACCUCAUUGCAAACAUGUCGUCCACCAAAUUAGUUUUCAGUCCAGUGUUGUAAUCCCGAGAACCUGAGAACUCUGUCAAUCUGACACCUGAGUAUCUCCUCGUAACCCAUAUACCCUAUGAUGCAUUAAAUCCCCCUUUCUCUGCCACCCUUUCGUAUAUCCUGUUUGACUCCUUACUGCCCCAAGCCAUUACCGGAGGGACACUCUUUGGAAUUAUGAACAUUCUUCCCCAACAACACCCAAAUAGAACAGCUGCAGAAAGACAAGGCAACCCCCUACGUGGUCGGUUUUGUUGGUUUGAUACAGCUUCACUUCCUCCAACAAUUUCUUAAAUGCAAAACGACCCCAGUUAUAACUUCUGAUACGCUUCCUCUCCUUCACCAAUGAUAACAGCCUUGGAUCUACAUAACCUGGUCUGUUGGGCCAAAACAUUAUAGCCAGCGCAAACAAUAUAAAACUAACCACAAACAGCUCAUCCAGAUUGUCUGUGAAUACUACGUUAUUCCUCAAUCUGUCAAUAGUCAUCUCUUUAUCGACCCCCCAAAUUUGUCCAUGUAACUCGGCUAAUUCAGCAUCCAAGCUCAAGCUCUUUGGUAUGGCAACUUCAAUGCCACGACACCUCAGUCCCAUUAAGCGAUCAAAGUCCUUCUCCAUUACUGACAAGUUUCGCCCGUGGAUCUUGAUGGUACAAUUUUUCACAUUAAAAUUGUCCAACAACAUUUUGCAUAGUGACAGGUUUAACUCCCUGCAUCAAAACUGGUGCACAGGACCAAAUCCCAAAUCAUUAAUCUCAAAUACCUUAUCAUUUGAAAUUCGGGACACUACGUCUUUAAACACUUUUGGCUCACAUUCUGUUAAAAUUCCACAGUCUCCAUCCAAUGGUUUGUUCCUCUUAUCAAUAUGCUUGUCCUCUAGCUGGAAAACCCCUCCCCUUAACCACUCUUCUUCACCCAGCUUCUACGUUGUUAAUACAGUGACAAGUACCCAGUAUUAAAGGUCAAAUCAUUACACAACACAUAAUAAAACAAAUCAAACAAUGUAGCUACCUUAUCAUCAUAUAACAAGUCUGUGUUUCUCCAAUUCUAAUUCAUUCCUCCCAUCAUACUGUUCAAUAAUACAUUCAAAGCCGGUCAGCAACAAUGUAUCCGCAAAUAUAACUCCCACUAAUUAUUUAGGUACUUACUCCUCACUUCCGGAUCCUCCGUGUCUUUCCAAACCUUCCUUAUAGGCUCUCUUCCUUGUUUCAGACUUCGUCGCAUGCUCAGACUCACGUUUCUUCCUCCCCGUACCCUGCCGUUUCCACAUUCAUAAACGCAUUUACAUUUCAACUGUUUCAGAUAACUAAAAAUUCAAAAUAUUUUGAUGCAAAUUGUAACACUAACCAUUAUAUGCUUAUAAAUUUCAAUGAAUAUAAUCUGAUUUCAAUAAUUAACAAAUUUCACAUGUCUCGUUAUCCGGUAUCUAAACAAAAUUAUAGGGAUCUCGAAUUUCUUACGGUUUCUUCCAUGGAUGAUCAGACCGGUUGCCGAUUUCUGGAAUGCGACUCCGAUGCACCGGAUUUCAGUUUCUGGAUCUAUAUCGGAAACCGGCGACUCAGGGCGGUAUUUUCUGGAAAAACCCACAGCUUGUGCAAGAUUUUGGAUUCUGCUCCGACGGCUGAUAUGAAGCAACAAAAUCGUUCUGCUUUCGUCCACGCAGAGAAACCCUAGAUUUUGGAGAGAAGAAAAGGAAUCAGAAGAUCUGUUCUGGAUGGCAUGGGCGAGACGAGUGCGUACACGAUAAAAGUAUGAGUGAAAUUUUGGAUACCCUCACUACCAGGACAAGCACUUUAGCCGACGAAAAUUUUUCGUCGGCCUGUCAGCUUAAUUCGUCGGCUAAGAUCUUAGCCGACGACCUUUCGUCGGCUAAGAUUUCGUCGGGAAAAGCUCGUCUGUGGUGACUUUAGCCGACGACACACGUAUAAGUCGUCGGCUAAAGUCAAGACUUUAGCCGACGAAAUAAUGUUCUUUAGCCGACGAAAUAAAAAUUUCGUCGGCUAAAGUUGACUAUAGCCGACGAAAAUAUAAUUUAGCCGACGAAGGAAAAUUUCGUCGGCUAAAGUGUACUUUAGCCGACGAAAAAUUGUUUCGUCGGCCUGUUUUUUUUUUUUCGUCGGCUAAAGUCUUUCUUCUGGUAGUGCCUAUACAUACUAGCCAAAUACAGACCGUCUUAAUACAAAAUCCAGGGGGACAGUACACAGACAGUAGGGGGGCAGCUGGGUGCAUUCCUAAAUUCUCCAUUUUUGAUUCAUCAAAAUGUUUACCUGUAAUCUUUCUUGAUGUAAAUUCUCCAUACAUACAUUGUUAAUUUCAAUCUCAUUUUGGUUUCUAAUGAGAAUGAGUGAAGAGAUCGAUAGAUGUUAUUGGUAUCAUUGCAGUUAGAAUGUGAUUAAGUAGUUCAUGAAAAGAACAAGACGCCUACUUAAUCGUGGAAAUAUAUGCGAAACUUAAAUAGCGGACAUGCAUGUUGAUCUUUGACAAACCGUAUUAGCAAAUUAACGAAUUGUACUGAACUGAUCGCAUGCCUAUAAUAUGACCACCAAUGGUUUUAUGGGAGGGUCUAAACCAUUGAGAACCAAUAAUCCAUACCCACAACCAGUACUUGGAUUUUCCAUGUGAAGGUAUAAGGAUAGUUGGUAAUCCUUUUUAUCCUGCAAAACAUCUUAAGGUGCUGUUGUCUGAUCAAGAACAAGUGACACUAAUAUCCCUUAUGGUUUCAGGUAAAACAUGCAUCUGCAUAUCACUGUUUUUCACAGAGGUUAGCAGCUUCGCUUGCUAUCCUAGUACUGAGUCUUCUGCUGUCCUGAGUUUCAAAGUCUGUUAUAUUAGUAUAAUAAGUCUUUCAAAUUCAAAUGGACAACUGAGUUUGUGGAAAGUGCUUUAGCGCUCAAACCAGUCAAAGGGUUGAGAUCUUUUGUUAUGCCAACCCGUGACCAAAUGGUUUGAUGCUCAAGGCUCCAGUUGGGAUUUCAUGAUACGUUAUCCUAUGUAUAGCUGGUCCCUGUAUGGUUCAAAGACCAGUUGCUAUCAGCUGUGUCAAGGUCCACUAAUGGACUGAGCAAGAGGGUUUAAAACCUCUUUGCUCCUUGUUUUGAAUCGUUCAUGUUUUAGCAAAGGUAUCUUUGUCUUAUUGAGGUUGCUUGUGUCAACUCUCCAUUUGGUUACAUCACUUUCAGUAUGGGGAACCAAACACUUCUGUCCAAACCUUUCUGAAACAUGUUGAGGUCAGCUUGCAUCAUCUUUGAUGCCUUGUCUGCCUAUAUAUAUCUAUAGCUUUGGCUUUGCUCAAUGGUUGUGGAAAACUGCCUUAUUGCGUUUUAUUUGUUGAGUCUAGUUUUUAGCUUGCAUUGUUCAUGCUGCUCUAAGUCUUCUUCGUGACUGUAAACCUUAGAGCUUGAACUCAAAACUUCUUUCAUCAACUCAUAUCAUGUUGCAUACCAUGAGGGAUGUGUAGUGCAACCAACCCAAGAAGCGUUCAAGGUUGAAUCAGCUAGUGGUUAGCUGAAUUCACGAACAAAGCUUUUGAAAAUGUUCCAUGUUGUAAGAACUUAGAAACAAGAGAGGGAAUAGGUCUAGACUAGUUCGGGACUAGGAAUGAUAGCAAUGUGGUAGUAUAUCACUAGAACUAUUAUUCUUGUAAGGAGUUACUUCAACUUAGUGGAAAUUUUUGUCUCUUAAGAGUUAGAGACACAGUUUUUCUCCCUGCAUUCAGGGUUUCUGCGAGUAAAAAACAUCCUUGUGUUGAUUCUUUAUUUGCUGCAAUUUACUUUCUGCAAAUUCGUAUCAUGUGAUUCUGGGAUAGCACAAAUCAUUACUAUCCUCGGAUACAGAAAUCAACGAAAAUUUAAAAAAAAAAUUGACCUAUUCCCCCCCCCCCGGGGACCUUUACCAUGUUACAUGAAAAGCCGUAAAUUGAAAAGGAGUGGGUUGUCCAUCAACCCAGUACUGUAAGUAAAAUUCAGGGAGACUUUGACAACCUCUUCUCCUGUGUGGUUCAACCAGCACUACAUUCUCAAUUUGAGAUGACAGGAAGAUGACUUCCUCAACUUCCAGGUCAUUAAGAUUCCUUCUAAACCAAAACCCCAACUCGAUGGAAGGACACAAGAGUUAACACAUUAUUUUGGCAAUAUAGGAGAAUCAUGACCCUGAGAUAAUCAAUGUAAACAAGAUAAGUUCUGGAGGUUUUGUCCACGACAGUGAGCAUCAUGAGACCACAACUUGUGCUACAAUCAAAAGAUCAACAUAGAAGCAUCGACCCCUUAACAUUUCUCUACCACAUAUAUACAACAAUAUAGAGUCACUUACAUGUACAUAACAAGUGUUCUCGCACUACUUUGAAGUGGCAAGAGCUGAAUGAAAAACAUCUUCGAGAUACUUCUUAGCAGCAGCAUACUGUCUUUUCUUGUCCUCAAUUGCUAAAGCAGCCAAAGCUUUAUCCUGCAGAUAUUCAAACCUCACAAUUCACAAUCUUUUUAGGAGCAACCAGAAUUCAACCAUGUAAUUGAAGUAGAGAAGUACCGGAGGUAAGUCUUGGUAGCUUCGCAAAGUAUCAAGAACGGGUUGUGUCUUCUUCUCUAGUUCCUUCCGGUGCUCAGCCAACUCAACCAACACCCCAUGGUUCUGUCUUCGCACAUCCCCCUAAAUCUACUCCACAUUUCUGUCCUUCAGAAAAUGUAUACACAAACACACAUAUGUGGCGUACGUCACAGCCAUCAUGACGCCCAUACAUACUAAAAUGUAACAUGUAUACACUAGCUUCUGAAACUAAUGUUUACAUAUCAGUUCUUCAUUGUUAUUUUUAACAGCACUAGGUUUCAGACUAAAGCAUAUAAGUUGCUCUUCUAACUGCAACAUUCUAUAUGAAAUUGUUCAUACUAAAUGUUGGCAAGACCAAAUAUAGGAUCUCACUUUACAUAAUCCCUAUUUCAUACAAUUAGAUGGUUCUAAGUUUUUGAGCUUCAUACCGAAUUAGUUCUAUGCUCAUAAGAGCUUAUGCCUAAAGUAUCAACACACAUGUUUGUAUAGGAGGCAUGAGGAACGGACAGACUCUAGAGAUUAGUCUGGUUGUAUGAUUUGUACCAUACUUAUUAAUUACCAACAUGAUUACAUAACUGCAGUAUCUCCUUAGUCUAUUUCAUGCAAUCUUCCAGUUCCUGUUACCUCAGCACAUAUAAUUGAUUUACAAGCAAAAUUAACAUUAAGAUACAACACAUCUACUAACACUCCUAUAUUUCUGUAAGACCCAUUAGCCAACUGCAGAUAUUUCAGUAGAAAAACAUCAUUGAUUAUAAUUUAUAUAAUCCAUCAACCAAAAUCACAACUCAAGAUUUCCAAAUAACAUCAUCUGCUCUACCAGAUGUAGAUGUUGCGUUUUCAUUUAUAUCACGUAUUUUUUCCCCAAUACAUGAUAACAAACAAAAGCGUAGCAAUGUAGCAUGAACAAAAUAAUUUAACACUGCGUCUCAAUAAAUAAAUUGUAUAACUAAAUAAACUUUUGUUCAUGUUACUCAGUGGCGGGUCCAGGAUUUAACACUAGGCUGGGCUUGUAUUUUUUUUUUUUUUUGUAUUGAUUGAAACAAUAGGAAAAUUUAACGGCAGUCUAAAAUAUUUAACUAAAAUAUAUUAGAUAUACAAUUUAUUUAUUGAGAUGCAAUAAUAAAAACUUAUCUAAAACUACCAUUUAAGCAAUCAUUAGAAAGAUUUUUUUUUUUUUUGAAACUAUUUAUAUGAUAAAAUAAAGGUUAAUUAAGAUAAGAAUUCAAUCAUAACUAAUACCAAAACAGGUAUAACAUCUUACCAAAGAAUGCUAUGAGCGAGGCCCAUUAUUUAAUUUUGAGCCUAGUGGAAAAAUGCAUUUUAGAAGAAAUCAAGAAAGUAAAAAAGUGAAAAAAAAAAAGAAAAAAAAAAACUUUAGAAGAAAUCCAGAAAGUAAAGAAGUAAAAAAAGAAGAAAAAAGGAAAACAAAUAGGGAAUCGAUCCGAGGUGGGGUUGCUGUUAGUACUAGCACCAAACCAAGCUUACUAAAGCUUCUUUCAAUAUUGUGAUGCACAUGCUAAAAUAUUUAAUGUCAAAAUCUCGGUUGGGCUUGAGCCCAACUUAGCUCUAGCCUGGCUUCGCGCCUGGCCAAUAUUGGGGCAGAUUCGGCAGUUCACAUUUUGGUGAAUUUCUUUAAUGCCUCGCUUUAUUGUAGUAGAGAUAUAAAUGUUAAUGUUAUGAGCAAAAUCGAGAUGGUGAAACUUUGACAACAAUACCUGACUUCCCAUCAUAGGAGUGAAGAUUUGAGUCCCAUACUCCCCAAGAAUAACUUAUCUUAAUUUAGAUUAGACCUCACACAUGUUUGGUGCUAGAUGUAUUGGUGUUUGGUGUUGGUACAUAUGUCUGGUCAGCAUAUUGUGACCGCUUCUAUACUGGUCAUAACCAACAUAUUCACUCACUCUUCGACUACGAUCACAAAGACAGUAACAACAGCUAUCGAAUGAUGUAAGCCGUUCCUUGAUCAACAUCGCGACGCGCGUGUAGGCGCGUCACCAAAACUGCUCCUUGGAGCAAUAUAAGGAGCACAUGUCCCACAUCGAGGAAGUGCAAAGGGGCCAAGACCAGCCUAUAAGUGUAACUAUAUCUCUCUUCAUUUACUACGCAAUUACUAUUUACUUCUGUUGCUCUACUAAUUUAUUCACUGACUUAGGCAUCGGAGCGUUGAAGACCGUUAAAAAGCGGUCUCCUCUCCUGAUCUAGUUUGGUAUCCUUGUUGACAGACUCAAGAACGAAGACUACGACAACUGUUUACAGAUCUGUAUUAUGACGUAUAUAGGGAGUUGAGAUAACCGUUUAUAUACUGCACAAAACAUUUGAACUUUGGACUAAUGAGUAAUGAUUGCAACAACAAAAGAAGGAAGAGUUAUCAAUAAGAUUCGAUCAAUAAAGAACACAUGAACACCAGAAGAAGUUUAAACCCAUUUCUUUUUGUCGAAAAUGCAACUUAAUUUGGGUAUUGCAUCAGAAAAAAAAAACACUUAAUUUGGGUGUUGAUUUAAACCAAUGGAAAUAUGGGAUGCAUGGGAUCAUGUCCCAUUUCUCUUGGGCGGAUGUGCAAAGCCAUCUCUACCAGUGCACCAUGGUCUAAGAAAGGUUUCGGUUUGAGGAGUUCUAGAUUGGCACAAAGGGUGAAAGGAAGCGGUGGAUGCAUGUUGGACCUGGGAGGUUGUGACAACAAUGUUUAAGGUUGGCAAGAAACUCAUGCAUGCCCAGUUUACUAUUAUCAAUUGGCAGUGUCGUGUUUUUUGGAACAACUACAAACAAAGAUAAUGGGAUGCUUCAUAGUCGUCUGCAGGUUUUGUUAGAGAUAUCGUUGUCUCAUGCCAAUCAAUAUGAGAGUACAGUCCUCUAACAUAGCUAUAUGGUUUACUGAUGGAUAAACAAGUUUAUUGGCGUUAGAGAUCGAAUAUGACUUGAUUAGCAAAUGGUGAUAGCAAUAAGAAAUAUUUCCACCGGAAAGCUUCUUGUAGGCAUAAAAGAUGACCAAAUUGGUUGUUUGAUCAUGAUGGUGAUUGGCAAUUAUCUCAAUAUUAUUUUGUUUAUGUUUUGUGGUAUUGUUGGAUUACAAUGGUAUGGAGGAGGUAGUAGAACAAGUCUUGGAAAAAGUGACACUUGAGAUGAAUGCUUCAUUGUGUGCACCAUUUUCAUCGGAUCAGAUUAAGGCAUACAUUGUUUCACACGUACACUAUCAAAGCCUGAGAGUCUGAUAUGGUAUGCUCCAAUUACUUUUACAUAAAUAUUGGGAUAUUUUAGGUGAGAAAGUCGUGAUUACAGUUCAUAAUUUCUUCAUAUAGGUCACGUCAUACCCCGAAUUUUAAAUACAUAAAUUUUAAAAUUCGAAAAUACGAUAUCCAUUUUGUCAACUCCAAUUACUUAAAAUUCCUAUCUACAACAACUAGGUAUCAAGAAACAAAAGUUCAAAGGUUACAACUCUACUAUUAGAAUCCGAGUAAUAUGUCAAACAACUUGAAAAUGUCAGUACCCUAUGAUAAACACAACAAAAUAAGGUCAAACACCUAAUUGUUGCAACAAAAGGUCAAUAUCUCAAUCUUAUUGAUCCUCACCUGCAGGUCUAACCCCUACACACCAUGGAUUGGUGUAGUGGGAUGUAAACAACAAACCUGGUAAGCUAUAAAGCUCGUAUGAGUAAAUCCUAAAUAAUUAACGCAACAAACAUGCAUAAUAAUUUUGCAUCACAUGAAACAAUAAACUAACCAACAAAUUUCACACAUGUUGCCUCCUCCACUGUCCUAUCUGCCUCCCCACCCUGAAGGUCUUUCAUGUCAAGCAAUCCCUUCUAGACCACCUUAAAGAUUUCCACAAGGACAUGUAGAGUCGUCUGGUCCCUAGUUUUAUGUAGUUAGGAGGGAUAGCUAAAUAGAACCCAGAUAGCUAAAAGAGG
RNAcentral lists this long non-coding RNA (24512 nucleotides) under Fragaria vesca (wild strawberry). RNAcentral describes it as "long non-coding RNA (FVES_LNC001697)". The record is from RNAcentral. Lineage: Eukaryota; Viridiplantae; Streptophyta; Magnoliopsida; Rosales; Rosaceae.